Molecule: ribosomal RNA, 439 nt
Filed under: uncultured bacterium
Lineage: Bacteria
Description: partial 16S ribosomal RNA
Rfam family: Bacterial small subunit ribosomal RNA
Source: RNAcentral
CUACGGGGGGCUGCAGUGAGGAAUAUUGCACAAUGGGGGGAACCCUGAUGCAGCAACGCCGCGUGGAGGAUGACGCAUUUCGGUGUGUAAACUCCUUUUAUAUGUCAAGAAAAUGACGGUAGCAUAUGAAUAAGCACCGGCUAACUCCGUGCCAGUAGCCGCGGUAAUACGGAGGGUGCAAGCGUUACUCGGAAUCACUGGGCGUAAAGGACGCGUAGGCGGGUUGGAAAGUCAGGUGUGAAAUCCUACAGCUUAACUGUAGAACUGCACUUGAAACUUCUAAUCUAGAGUAUGGGAGGGGGAGAUGGAAUUAGUGGUGUAGGGGUAAAAUCCGUAGAUAUCGCUAGGAAUACCUAAAGCGAAGGCGAUCUCCUGGAACAUUACUGACGCUAAGGCGUGAAAGCGUGGGGAGCAAACAGGAUUAGAUACCCUCGUAGUC